This 341-nucleotide long non-coding RNA is filed under the name Equus caballus (horse). RNAcentral describes it as "lncRNA (ENSECAG00000051656.1)". The record is from RNAcentral. Lineage: Eukaryota; Metazoa; Chordata; Mammalia; Perissodactyla; Equidae.
GUUGCGGACCCACGAGCAAUCUCUUCUUGGCAAGGAGCUAGGGGUCAGAGCAGGCGCUGAGAGGAAAGGAGGACCAGCUGUCCUGCAAGCAAACAAACGUUUACAUCCAUUUGGGCCAUACUCCUCAAGCUGAUAUCCCAGCUCACCAAAUCCAGAACUGUUUCUGCAGGAACCUAGAAAUACUGGACCUUCUCUCUCCUCCUGAUUCUACCCUUAGAACUUACAAACACGCCAGAGUUUAUUGUGCUAACUUGUAACUAUGUUAAAGCAACCUUGCGAAUCUUACUCACUAUCUGAUUCAGAUACCUAUGUUAUAAUUGAGUCUCUUCACUGGCAGUGAU